This 253-nucleotide ribosomal RNA is filed under the name uncultured bacterium. RNAcentral's name for it is "partial 16S ribosomal RNA". It matches the Rfam family "Bacterial small subunit ribosomal RNA", at positions 524 to 776 of the family's 1533-position model. The record is from RNAcentral.
UACGUAGGUGGCAAGCGUUGUCCGGAUUUAUUGGGCGUAAAGCGCGCGCAGGCGGUCCUUUAAGUCUGAUGUGAAAUCUUGCGGCUCAACCGCAAGCGGUCAUUGGAAACUGGGGGACUUGAGUACAGAAGAGGAAAGUGGAAUUCCACGUGUAGCGGUGAAAUGCGUAGAGAUGUGGAGGAACACCGGUGGCGAAGGCGGGUCUCUGGGCCGUAACUGACGCUGAGGAGCGAAAGCAUGGGGAGCGAACAGG